UGGAAAUGGGAAUGGCCGACAAACUCCACCAGAUCUUAGAGACCGUUAAGCAGCUGACGAAGACUUUAGUGCUGAAUUGAAAAGGCUUCAAUAAUAAUAUCACGAGUUGACAUAGAGAUGACGGUGUCGAGGAGACAAAUGAGGGUAAACAACAAUUAUGCUCUAAAGUGGCAAAGCUUGAGUUUCUUACUUAUUAUAGAGACUUAAUUGAAUGGUUUACUAGAGUCAAAAUAUUCUUAAAGC
RNAcentral lists this long non-coding RNA (243 nucleotides) under Carica papaya (papaya). RNAcentral describes it as "long non-coding RNA (CPAP_LNC010859)". Lineage: Eukaryota; Viridiplantae; Streptophyta; Magnoliopsida; Brassicales; Caricaceae. The record is from RNAcentral.